GCAGUGAGAGACAGAGAUCAGGCCUAUUGAAGAUGGGCAGUGAGAGACAGAGAUCAGGCCUAUUGAAGAUGGGCAGUGAGAGACAGAGAUCAGGCCUAUUGAAGAUGGGCAGUGAGAGACAGAGAUCAGGCCUAUUGAAGAUGGGCAGUGAGAGACAGAGAUCAGGCCUAUUGAAGAUGGGCAGUGAGAGACAGAGAUCAGGUCUACCCAGGCUCUCACCUACCUGCCUCACUCAAAGAUACUGUUUCUCAGUCAUUGGCUGGUUGCUUCUCUGAUCCGGUUCAUUCAUCCAAUUAAAACUCUGUUCAAAGGCCAAAACAUGACUGAUCUGAAAUGGCUGAGAG
RNAcentral lists this long non-coding RNA (344 nucleotides) under Salmo salar (Atlantic salmon). Its description in RNAcentral is "lncRNA (ENSSSAG00000097844.1)". Lineage: Eukaryota; Metazoa; Chordata; Actinopteri; Salmoniformes; Salmonidae. The record is from RNAcentral.